UACAGAGGUUGCGAGCGUUAAUCGGAAUUACUGGGCGUAAAGCGUGCGUAGACGGUUACAUAAGUCGGGUGUGAAAGCCCCGGGCUCAACCUGGGAAUUGCAUUCGAGACUGCGUAGCUAGGGUGCGGAAGAGGGAAGCGGAAUUUCCGGUGUAGCGGUGAAAUGCGUAGAUAUCGGAAGGAACACCAGUGGCGAAAGCGGCUUCCUGGUCCAGCACCGACGUUCAGGCACGAAAGCGUGGGGAGCAAACAGG
RNAcentral lists this ribosomal RNA (253 nucleotides) under uncultured bacterium. Its description in RNAcentral is "partial 16S ribosomal RNA". It matches the Rfam family "Bacterial small subunit ribosomal RNA", at positions 524 to 776 of the family's 1533-position model. The record is from RNAcentral.